This is a small nucleolar RNA of Microtus ochrogaster (prairie vole), 133 nucleotides long. Its record names the gene SNORA75. It matches the Rfam family "Small nucleolar RNA SNORA75". From Rfam's summary of the family: U23 belongs to the H/ACA class of snoRNAs. snoRNAs bind a number of proteins (including dyskerin, Gar1p and Nop10p in the case of the H/ACA class) to form snoRNP complexes. The record is from Ensembl. NCBI's taxonomy places the organism in Eukaryota, Metazoa, Chordata, Mammalia, Rodentia, Cricetidae.
GUCUUCUCACUGAGCUCCUUUCUGUCUGCUGGUGGCCGAUUAUGGAUCCGCACGAGAAGAAGAGAGAAUUCACAGAGCUAGCACUUAGCUUCUGUUUUUACAGAGGUCUAUUUGUCUACUGUGCGAGACAUUC